GCCCGGUUAGCUCAGUCGGUAGAGCACCAGACUUUCAAUCUGGCUGUCUCGGGUUCGCGCCCAGCAUCGGUCU
Molecule: transfer RNA, 73 nt
Filed under: Necator americanus (New World hookworm)
Lineage: Eukaryota; Metazoa; Nematoda; Chromadorea; Rhabditida; Ancylostomatidae
Rfam family: tRNA
About the family: Transfer RNA (tRNA) molecules are approximately 80 nucleotides in length.
Source: Rfam by way of RNAcentral